Molecule: long non-coding RNA, 795 nt
Organism: Manihot esculenta (cassava)
Lineage: Eukaryota; Viridiplantae; Streptophyta; Magnoliopsida; Malpighiales; Euphorbiaceae
Exons: 2
Source: RefSeq, a predicted model, not a curated record
CACAAUUCAUCAAAGUUGAAACCAAUUGACUACUGAUUAUUUCCAAGUGGACCAUAAGCACCUAUACUAUACAUAAGAAAUCUCUUCUUCUUUCUUUUCCUCUGAUGUUUUAGGUGAUAUUUAAUUUUGUUUCAAAUUAAUUUUUUUUUUUUAAUUUACUUCAAUCUUUUUAUUUAUGAUUAAAAUACUAAAUACUAUUUUAAAAAAUUUUAAUAAUAAAAUAUUAAAUAUAGUUCUUAACUGAGAGGAAAAAAAAAAGAGCGAAGAGCGACAGUAGAAGGGUUGAAGAAAAGGUUUGGUUGUCGGUGUACAGAGGGCUCCGCUGCCUUUUGAUAGUGGCAGCUCCUAUUUGUGUUUUGAGAAUCGUAGAUGGUGCUGUCGUUAGUCUGCUCGCUGUUUCUGGGUUGUGAAGUUGGUUCUUCUCUUGUUGAUUGGCUGUUUUAGAAGCAUGUUUGAUUUCCUUUAAUGGGCUUAUGAUGUAUGUCGCCUUUUUCUGUAUAUUAUUGGUUUGUUUUUCUGGUGUCUUUUCCAAUUUGGUCAUCGGUGUGAGCUCUCCCGGUAAUCGUCGGCAGAUCUCAGGGUCAUCGAAGGAUGCCUCUGUGGCAGUACGGUCAGUUGGGGUUUGGUUUAGUUUUGCAUGUUGGACGCGAUAGCAUCCAAAUGUGGAUUGCACUGUUCACUUUGGGUUGGUGUACCGGGUUAACCGAUUUGCUUGGUUUGUCAGGUGGCUUUUUUCUGAGUUGAUUUGUGUACUAUAUGCUGAGCUGGUCUAUAAUUUCUGAAUUUUGUCUUGUA